CUUUUGCAUCAUGAUUUAGCAAGUACCCCCAAGCAAAGCGAUCUUUAGUUUGCACCCCCGAAACUUGGCGAGCUACUCCAAGACAGCCUAUUUUAGGGCAAACCCGUCUCUGUGGCAAAAGAGUGGGAAGAGCUUCGAGUAGAGGUGACAGACCUACCGAGCCCAGUUAUAGCUGGUUGCCUGAGAAAUGAAUAGAAGUUCAACCUUUUGGAUGCUCCCACCUUCUAGAAAUACCUUUUCUCCCUGGCCAAGAGCACACCAAAAGAGCUAUUCGAGGGAGGGACAGCUCUCUCGAAUGAAGACACAACUUUUUUAGAAGGCUAAAGACUAAACUAAACAAGGCAAACACCAAGGUGGGCCUAAAAGCAGCCA
Molecule: ribosomal RNA, 372 nt
Filed under: Gobiosoma longipala
Lineage: Eukaryota; Metazoa; Chordata; Actinopteri; Gobiiformes; Gobiidae
Description: partial large subunit ribosomal RNA
Rfam family: Bacterial large subunit ribosomal RNA
Source: RNAcentral